Molecule: unclassified non-coding RNA, 3806 nt
Filed under: Diabrotica virgifera virgifera (western corn rootworm)
Lineage: Eukaryota; Metazoa; Arthropoda; Insecta; Coleoptera; Chrysomelidae
Description: zinc finger protein 112-like
Source: RNAcentral
UUUAUAAACAAAUAAACAUACAUACCAUAAACAGUAUUUUUUUUAGUACCUAUUGUUAAUUUCGGAGUGUAAGUAAAAUUAUUAUCUAAAAUCUAAAUACAUAAAACGUUGUUAAAAUUAAAUGAAAUGGAAGUAAAACAAGAAUAUGGUGAAGACACCUGUAAAGCAGAAAUAUAUUCCAAUAAUGCAGAUGAUGAUGCUCUUUUAAAUACCUUUAAAUGUGGAAUUAAAGAGGAACCCAAUAGAGAAAGUACACAUGGCACUUUUGAUUAUUUAGACUUAAAAGAAUUCCCUAUAAAGACUAAAACCAAAGAUGAAAGUGAACUUUUGCAAUUUGAAGAAAAACAAAGAAAGGAAAAGGAUAGCAGAAUAAAAGCUGAAAUUAAGGAAGACUUUGAUGAAGGUAAUCCAGCAGAUAUAGAGAGUCAGCUAUCGACAUCACUUGAUCUGGGAGUCUUUGAACAUGAGUAUACCUCAGGCUUAUCUCAGAUGAAGCUGGUGGAAUUGGAAGUUAUGAAAAGGAUUCCUGAAGAUUCAAAUAAUAAAAAACAAAUAAGUGUAAACCCUGAAGAAACAGCAUUAAAAAAUUCUAUUUAUGCUAAAGAUUUACCUGACAAACAGAAUUUAAAGCAGCAUACGGAAGGUUGGAUUGGAGAACGUCACGAAUGUGAAACGUGUUUUAAGCAGUUUAAUCAAGCACGUAAUUUGGAAAGACAUUGUUUAAAAGUGCACAAUGGAGAAAGAUCGCAUAAGUGUGACAUUUGUUCUAAGGAAUUUACUACAGCAGGUACUUUGAAAAGGCAUAUGAGAGUGCACACUGGGGAAAAACCUUAUAACUGUGAAAUUUGUUUCAAGCAGUAUUCUUAUUCAAUCGAUUUAAAAAGACAUUUAAUAAGACACACUGGCGAGAAGCCUUAUAAGUGUGAACUUUGUUUUAAACAAUUUAGUGAUUCGCGUUAUUUGAAAACACAUGUAAGAGUGCACGAUGAAGAAAAACCUCACAAGUGUGAAAUUUGUUUAAAGCAAUUUAAUAAAGCAGGUACUUUGAAACAACAUACGAUAACGCACACUACAGAAACCGCUUUUAAGUGUGACAUUUGCUUUAAGACAUUUACUACGGCAGGUAAAUUGAAAAUACAUUUGAGGGUACACACUGGAGAAAAGCCUUACAAGUGUGAUAUUUGUUUAAAACAGUUUUCUUAUAAGAAUUCUUUGGAUAUACAUAAAACAGGUCACACUGGUGAAAAACCUUACAAGUGUGAAAUUUGUUCUAAGCAAUUUACUCAGGAAGGAAGUUUAAAAAUACAUUUAAGGAUACACACUGGAGAAAAGCCUUACAAGUGUGAUAUUUGUUUAAAACAGUUUUCUUAUAAGAAUUCUAUGGAUAUACAUAAAACAGGUCACACUGGUGAAAAACCUUACAAGUGUGAAAUUUGUUUUAAGCAAUUUGGUCGUAAUGGACAUUUGAAAGAGCAUUGGAGAGUGCACACUGGUGAAAAACCUUACAAGUGUGAAAUUUGUUCUAAGCAAUUUAGUGCCACGGGUAGUUUGAAAAGACACUUAAUAAGACACACUGGCGAGAAGCCUUAUAAGUGUGAAAUUUGUUUUAAACAGUUUCGUGAUUCACAUUAUUUGAAAAGACAUUCAUGGAUACACACUGGGUAAAAGCCAUACAAGUGUGAAGAUUGUUUUAAUCCAUUUAGUGAAGCAGAUACAGUGGAACCUGGGGCCAGUCAGUCAGUAGCCAUGGCAGGGGAAGCACGUUCAAAUAACACUGCCGAUAUCAGUAGUAAUAUAGUUUGCAGAAAAUGUAAAUCUAAAGUUGUUUCACCGGUAAAGUGUAUAUGUGAUAGCUGUUAUCAUCCCACGUGUGCCAAAAAACUGGAGUUACAAAUUUUUGACAAAGUUUUUACUAAAUGUUGUGAAAAAACCGAAGAUAAAGCAAACAGCGACUGUGAUGACAAAUUUUUCGAUGCCAUCGAAAACUUAGCUGCGUCGACAGAAAAUAAGGUAGAUAUACACAUCUUUAAAUAUAUUAUCAAACAAAAAGAUCUCUUAAUAUCAGAACUAAAGGAAAAAAUAUUCCUAUUAAAUACACAAAUUGACUCAUUGAAACAAUUAGAAACAAAACAAGUUCCGGAAAAAACUGACUAUUCUUUAUUUAAAAAAUCUAAACACAAAGCUGAUAACAAUAAACAAGUCUUCAAUUCACCAGAGUCAACAAUAGGCCAGGAGAAAUAUAAGGAAAACAAUUCAAUUAGCGCUAAAGAUAUCAGCGAAGCCAUAAACCGAGCGCAAAAUAUAAUACCUGCAUCUAGUCGAACCGAAAAGACUGGAGAUGCCAACAUGCAAAUAAGCAGUAACAUUCCUACGGAUUGGCAGAAAGUGACUUACAAAAAAAGAACACCCAAAAAAAACUUAUUAGUGGGUAACUGUUCUGGAAAUUCGAAUGUAGAAGGAGUGGAUCAAACAGUUGCUUUAUACGUAUUUAAUCUGAAACCGCAAUCAUCUGCAGAAGACCUUCAAUAAUUUUUAUCAAAAAACCUGCCAGAAGCCAGCUGCUCAGCUCUUCCAUCUCGUCGUCCUGAUAUAUAUUCUUCUUUCAAGAAAAUUGAUUUGGCCAAACAAAGCCUGUAUACGAAAUUUUUUUCAAUUGAGGAAAAAGAAAGUGCAAGUCGAGUAGAAGUAUCUAUCGACAAUGAAACAAAACAUACGUCAAUUUUUAAAAUUAUAUAGUUAAAUACAGCGUCCAUUAGAAACAAACUUGAAAGGUUGGAAAUUCUGCUUGACCAAGAAAAUCCUGUUGUCGUCAGUAUUGCGGAGCACUGGUGUAAGCAGGAUGAAAUGUCUCUAAUGGUAACUCCGGGUUACGAUCUUGUAACCAGUUAUUGUCGACCUAUCCAAUAGCAUGGCGGAUCGGUUCUGUAUGUGAAAUGUAGGUAUGAAUAUCAGAUCAUCAAUGUGUGCCAGUUCGCUGUGGAGAUGCAUUAUGAGUGCAGUGCGGUAAAAAUAAUGUUUUGUGAAAGAAAAGUUGCAGUCAUCAGUAUCUACAUGCCUCCCAGUGGAGACUUUUAUUUGUUUUUGAAGCAGUUUUCCUAUACGAUUGAACUCUGUAAUAGAUUGAAGAUAUGAAAUCAAUGAAGCUAUUUCGGAGGAACGUGUUAUUAAUCUAGGAGUUCCACAGGGCUCUGUAUUAGGACCCCUGAUUUUUUUGUUGUUUAUUAACGAUGCAUCUAACCAGUUUGAUGUUUUGGACCUGACGUUAUUUGCAGAUGAUACUUCUCUUGUGGUAUCAGCACAGACCUAUGAGAAAUUGGCAUCUACUUGCAAUAGUUUUUUAGCUCGAUUAAAUGACUGGUGUCGAUCUAAUAACCUAAUUUUAAAUGUAGACAAAACAAAAGUAAUAUAUUUUAAUAACUUAAAUUCUGUAAAUCCUGUACUACACUUAAGUUUUAACAAUGUACUACUGGAUUCCUCAAAUCAUACAAAAUUUUUAGGUGUCCAUCUCGACUCAAAGUUAAAAUGGUCAGUUCACAUAGACAUGCUCAGUAAGUCCCUUAAUAUAAUAAGUCGUACUAUGCAUUAUCCCGUAUUAAAAAUAUGCCCAUCUCUGCGCUGUUAAAUGUAUACUACAGCCUUGUUUAUAGUAGACUUUGUUACAACAUAGUUUUAUGGGGGAAUGCAGUCAACAGUGACAGAAUAUUUAUAACGCAAAAACGUAUAAUACGAAAAAUGUUUGGAAUUAGACAUCUUGAGAGCUGUAAGCCCAUAUUUAUUAGGAAUAAUAUUUUAAGUUUUCCAUGUAU